This 420-nucleotide ribosomal RNA is filed under the name uncultured prokaryote. RNAcentral's name for it is "bacterial SSU rRNA". It matches the Rfam family "Bacterial small subunit ribosomal RNA", at positions 355 to 774 of the family's 1533-position model. The record is from RNAcentral.
UGAGGAAUAUUGGUCAAUGGGGGCAACCCUGAACCAGCGACGCCGCGUGAGGGAUGAAUGGGCUUUGCCCUGUAAACCUCUGUCGGGUGGGAAAAAAGGACUGUUUGGCGGUCUGGGAUUGUACCACUAAAGGAAGCACCGGCUAACUACGUGCCAGCAGCCGCGGUAAUACGUAGGGUGCAAACGUUGUCCGGAAUUACUGGGUGUAAAGGGUGCACAGGCGGUUUUGUGCGUCAGAGGUUAAAUCCCACAGCUCAACUGUGGACAUGCCUUUGAUACGGCAGGACUUGAGUACAAGAGAGGAUGAUAGAAUUCCUGGUGUAGCGGUGAAAUGCGUAGAUAUCAGGAGGAAUACCAGUGGCGAAGGCGGUCAUCUGGCUUGUAACUGACGCUUAAGCACGAAAGCAUGGGUAGCGAACA